ACAACUUUCAACAACGGAUCUCUUGGUUUCGCAUCGAUGAAGAACGCAGCGAAAUGCGAUAAGUAAUGUGAAUUGCAGAAUUCAGUGAAUCAUCGAAUCUUUGAACGCACCUUGCGCUCCUUGGUAUUCCGAGGAGCAUGCCUGUUUGAGUGUCAU
Molecule: ribosomal RNA, 156 nt
Filed under: Trichaptum byssogenum
Lineage: Eukaryota; Fungi; Basidiomycota; Agaricomycetes; Hymenochaetales; Trichaptaceae
Description: 5.8S ribosomal RNA
Rfam family: 5.8S ribosomal RNA
About the family: 5.8S ribosomal RNA (5.8S rRNA) is a component of the large subunit of the eukaryotic ribosome. It is transcribed by RNA polymerase I as part of the 45S precursor that also contains 18S and 28S rRNA.
Source: RNAcentral